This 253-nucleotide ribosomal RNA is filed under the name uncultured bacterium. Its description in RNAcentral is "partial 16S ribosomal RNA". It matches the Rfam family "Bacterial small subunit ribosomal RNA", at positions 524 to 776 of the family's 1533-position model. The record is from RNAcentral.
UACGUAGGCAGCGAGCGUUGUUCGGAGUUACUGGGCGUAAAGAGUGCGUAGGCGGUUUUCUAAGUUUGGUGUGAAAUCUCCCGGCUUAACUGGGAGGGUGCGCCGAAAACUGGAAGGCUUGAGUAUGGGAGAGGUAUGCGGAAUUCCUGGUGUAGCGGUGAAAUGCGUAGAUAUCAGGAGGAACACCUGCGGUGUAGACGGCUUACUGGACCAUAACUGACGCUGAGGCACGAAAGCGUGGGUAGCAAACAGG